This 437-nucleotide ribosomal RNA is filed under the name uncultured bacterium. RNAcentral describes it as "bacterial SSU rRNA". It matches the Rfam family "Bacterial small subunit ribosomal RNA", at positions 30 to 461 of the family's 1533-position model. The record is from RNAcentral.
AUUGAACGCUGGCGGCAGGCCUAACACAUGCAAGUCGAACGGUAACAGGAAGCAGCUUGCUUCUUUGCUGACGAGUGGCGGACGGGUGAGUAAUGUCUGGGAAACUGCCUGAUGGAGGGGGAUAACUACUGGAAACGGUAGCUAAUACCGCAUAACGUCGCAAGACCAAAGAGGGGGACCUUCGGGCCUCUUGCCAUCGGAUGUGCCCAGAUGGGAUUAGCUAGUAGGUGGGGUAACGGCUCACCUAGGCGACGAUCCCUAGCUGGUCUGAGAGGAUGACCAGCCACACUGGAACUGAGACACGGUCCAGACUCCUACGGGAGGCAGCAGUGGGGAAUAUUGCACAAUGGGCGCAAGCCUGAUGCAGCCAUGCCGCGUGUAUGAAGAAGGCCUUCGGGUUGUAAAGUACUUUCAGCGGGGAGGAAGGGAGUAAAGUU